GACGAACGCUGGCGGCGUGCUUAACACAUGCAAGUCGAACGGAAAGGCCCUGCUUUUGUGGGGUGCUCGAGUGGCGAACGGGUGAGUAACACGUGAGUAACCUGCCCUUGACUUUGGGAUAACUUCAGGAAACUGGGGCUAAUCCCGGAUAGGAGCUCCUGCUGCAUGGUGGGGGUUGGAAAGUUUCGGCGGUUGGGGAUGGACUCGCGGCUUAUCAGCUUGUUGGUGGGGUAGUGGCUUACCAAGGCUUUGACGGGUAGCCGGCCUGAGAGGGUGACCGGCCACAUUGGGACUGAGAUACGGCCCAGACUCCUACGGGAGGCAGCAGUGGGGAAUAGUGCACAAUGGGCGGAAGCCUAAUGCAGCAACGCCGCGUGCGGGAUGACGGCCUGCGGGUUGUAAACCGCUUUCGCCUGUGACGAAGCGUGAGUGACAGUAAUGGGUAAAGAAGCACCGGCUAACUACGUG
Molecule: ribosomal RNA, 468 nt
Filed under: uncultured bacterium
Lineage: Bacteria
Description: partial 16S ribosomal RNA
Rfam family: Bacterial small subunit ribosomal RNA
Source: RNAcentral